AUGGAAAAGGUGAUGCUUGUCGAGUCCUUAGGAUAUAACCUCAUGUCUGUCUUAAUGCUUUGUGAUCUUCGUAUGAUUGUCAUCUUUGGCAAAUAUAGAUGCAUUGUGCUAAUGGAAUUUGACAAGUCCAAAGUCUUCGAAGGCUUUAGGAGAGGUGAUUUGUAUAUUGUAGAUUUCUCUCUAGGUACUCAACCAGCCACAUGUCUACUGGAAAAAGCUUCAGAGUGCUGGCUAUGGCAUCGACGACUUGGACAUGCUGGCAUGAGGAAUUUGAGCACACUCGUCAAGAAGAAGCAUAUCAUUGGCGUUGAGGGCGUUAAAUUCGUCAAAGAUCACCUUUGCGGCGCUUGUGAAGCUAGAAAGAUGACUAGAUCCAAGCACUCCACAAAGACAAUCAUGACCACUUCUCGUCCCUUUGAAUUACUUCACAUGGAUCUCUUUGGUCCUACUCAUUAUGCUACACUAACCAAUGCAGCAUCACUCCAUAAAUUCGUCAUUGCUGAUGACUAUUCUCGUUACACCUGGGUGCAUAUCAUUAUCUUCAAGACUGAAGUGCAGGGCAUCUUUAGACAAUUCGCAAAGCCAUGA
RNAcentral lists this ribosomal RNA (588 nucleotides) under Triticum aestivum (bread wheat). RNAcentral describes it as "partial small subunit ribosomal RNA". Lineage: Eukaryota; Viridiplantae; Streptophyta; Magnoliopsida; Poales; Poaceae. The record is from RNAcentral.